Molecule: ribosomal RNA, 484 nt
Filed under: uncultured bacterium
Lineage: Bacteria
Description: partial 16S ribosomal RNA
Rfam family: Bacterial small subunit ribosomal RNA
Source: RNAcentral
AUUGAACGCUGGCGGCAGGCCUAACACAUGCAAGUCGAGCGGAUGAAGGGAGCUUGCUCCUGGAUUCAGCGGCGGACGGGUGAGUAAUGCCUAGGAAUCUCCCUGGUAGUGGUUGAUAACGUCCUGAAACGGGCGCUAAUACCGCAUACUUCCUGAGCGAGAAAGUGGGUGAUCUUCGGACCUCACGCUAUCAGAUGAGCCUAGGUCGGAUUAGCUAGUUGGUGGGGUAAAGGCCUACCAAGUCGACGAUCCGUAACUGGUCUGAGAGGAUGAUCAGUCACACUGGAACUGAGACACGGUCCAGACUACUACGGGAGGCAGCAGUGGGGAAUAUUGGACAAUGGGCGAAAGCCUGAUCCAGCCAUGCCGAGUGUGUGAAGAAGGUCUUCGGAUUGUAAAGCACUUUAAGUUGGGAGGAAGGGCAGUAAGUUAAUACCUUGCUGUUUUGACGUUACCAACAGAAUAAGCACCGGCUAACUUCGUG